RNAcentral lists this non-coding RNA (20 nucleotides) under Rattus norvegicus (Norway rat). Lineage: Eukaryota; Metazoa; Chordata; Mammalia; Rodentia; Muridae. The record is from RNAcentral.
GUCCUUGUGAAGAUGUCCCC